Molecule: ribosomal RNA, 469 nt
Filed under: uncultured bacterium
Lineage: Bacteria
Description: bacterial SSU rRNA
Rfam family: Bacterial small subunit ribosomal RNA
Source: RNAcentral
CGCCCAGACUCCUACGGGAGGCAGCAGUGAGGAAUAUUGGUCAAUGGGCUUACGCCUGAACCAGCCAAGUCGCGUGAGGGAAGACUGCCCUAUGGGUUUUAAACCUCUUUUGUCAGGGAGCAACGCCGGCUACGUGUAGCCGGACUGAGAGUACCUGAAGAAAAAGCAUCGGCUAACUCCGUGCCAGCAGCCGCGGUAAUACGGAGGAUGCGAGCGUUAUCCGGAUUUAUUGGGUUUAAAGGGUGCGUAGGGGGAAUGCCAAGUCAGCGGUAAAAUCGCGGGGCUCAACCUCGCGCCGCCGUUGAAACUGGCGGGCUGGAGUUGGAGAGAAGUACGCGGAAUGCGCGGUGUAGCGGUGAAAUGCAUAGAUAUCACGCAGAACUCCGAUUGCGAAGGCAGCGUACCGGCGCCCAACUGACGCUCAUGCACGAAAGCGUGGGUAUCGAACAGGAUUAGAUACCCCGGUAGA